Molecule: RNA transcript, 2241 nt
Organism: Juglans regia (Persian walnut)
Lineage: Eukaryota; Viridiplantae; Streptophyta; Magnoliopsida; Fagales; Juglandaceae
Gene name: heterogeneous nuclear ribonucleoprotein 1-like
Exons: 3
Source: RefSeq, a predicted model, not a curated record
ACCAUAAGAAUCCUCCUCUCUCGCUCAACCUCUCUCUCUCUCUCUCUCUCAACCCAGAGACGGCCACAAACCUUUCUUCCAAAUCCUCGACCCAAACCCCUCCAAGAAAAUCUCCCAGUCAUAGUUUCACUGGCUGAGAGGGCCCGGGGAAGCUAGAGAGCGAUGGAUUCGGAUCAGGGGAAGCUGUUCAUCGGUGGUAUUUCUUGGGAGACCACGGAGGAAAAACUGAAGGAGUACUUUGAGAACUACGGGGACGUGUUGCAGACUGUGGUGAUGAGGGACAAGACCACUGGGAGGCCCAGAGGGUUCGGCUUCGUGGUCUUCGCAGAUCCUUCCAUUCUCGAUAGGGUUCUCCAGGACAGCCACACCAUUGAUGGCAGAACGGUUGAGGCUAAGAGGGCCUUAUCGAGAGAGGAACAGCAGACUUCUGCCAAAGCCGUGAAUCCUAAUCUUGCUAGAAGCUCUGGGGGUGGUGGAACUUUCAGAACCAAGAAAAUAUUCGUUGGAGGGCUGCCUUCCACUUUAAGUGAAGAAGAAUUUCGUCAACAUUUUGCAUCUUAUGGCCAUGUAACUGAUGUAGUAGUCAUGUAUGACCAGAAUACUGGGCGACCUCGUGGGUUUGGGUUUAUUACCUUUGACGAUGAAGAAGCUGUUGAUAGGGUUUUACACAAAAGCUUCCAUGACUUAAAUGGUAAACAAGUGGAAGUAAAGCGAGCUCUUCCUAAAGAUGCAAAUCCUGGUGGGGGAAACCGUACCAUGGGAGGCGGUGGUAGUGGUUCACUUGGCAGUGGUUAUCAAAACUAUGGGGCAUCUGGUGGCAACCCAAAUACAUAUGAUGGUCGAAUGGAUUCCAAUAGGUACAUGCAGACACAAAGUACCGGAGGUGGUUUUGCUCCUUAUGGUUCCUCUGGAUAUAGUGCACCUGGCUAUGGGUAUGGUCCUGCCAAUAAUGGUAUUAGUUAUGGUGCUUAUGGCAGUUAUGGUGGUGCCAAUACUGGGUAUGGUGGACCUGCUGGCGCGGCAUAUGGAAGCCCGAAUCUUCCUAAUGCUGGUUUUGGAAGUGGCCCACCGGGUGCUUCUAGAAGUUCAUGGAGCGCUCAAGCUCCCACUGGAUAUGGUGCCAUGGGUUAUGGGAACACUGCUGCUUGGGGUGCUCCAGGUGGCAGCACUGGUGCUCCUAGUGGUGGCCCCGGCUCAGCACCUACAGGUCAGUCGCCCAGUGGGGCCACAGGGUAUGGGAAUCAAAGUUAUGGCUAUGGUGGUUAUGGUGGAAGUGAUGGGUCUUAUGGAAAUCCUGUUGGGUAUGGUGCUGUUGGAGGUCGUUCUGGGAGUGUCCCAAGUAACAAUGCUGGUGGUCCUGCUGGGGGGGAUAUGCAAGGAAGUGGUGGUGGUUACGUGGGAAGUGGCUAUGGUGAUGCGAAUGGAAAUACAGGGUAUGGAAAUGGAGCGUGGAGAUCUGAGCAAUCACAGACUUCUGGAAAUUAUGGUGCUGCUCAGGUGAAUGGUCCUCAUGGUGGGCAGGUUGCCUAUGGUGGUGGAUAUGCCAAUGCCCAGGCCCGAACCCAACAACAGUAAUCAUGUGGCUAGGGAUCCAACUGAAUCUUCAUCUUUGUUUCUUUUCUAUGAGAGGGUCAGAAUUUUUUUCCGUGCAAAGCAGCAGAGGGAGCGGCGCAGUUGGUUGUCAACCCGCUUUGGGACUGGAGAGAUGCACGAGGUCAAAAGUGGAGUGAAGUGUCCACUCAUGGCUGAACACAAGCAUCGUUGUGGGUGCAGGGGGGGAGUGUUCAGCAUGGAUGGAAUUUCAGGGUUCAGUUGAAAUUACAAAUUUACCUGGGACAGGUCAUUCUCCAGCCUGGCCAUGGCACUGUCGAGUUUUGCAGAUUCCAGGGAGUUCAAGUGUGAAAACUUCCUAAUCUUCACUCAGGUGUGGUAUUACUGGAGGAUUUUGUUGGGUGAACAGCUCACGGUAUGUUGAUUUAAAGUGGCUUAGCUGUGUCUCUCUCACUCGUGAAUUCAUUGUGACCUAGUUGCUUAGCCUUUUGAUUUGGAUUAUAUCAUGGUAUAUGGUUCCAAAUGUUAGAGUAUUGGAGAAUGUUUACUUAUUAAAAAAAAAUGUUUAGAGUAUCGGAGGAUCUGUCUUUGUUAAAAACAGUUGAUUGAAGUUUCAGAAUGAAGUGAAGGACUCCCAAGAAAUUUGAUGGCUAGUUGUUUCUAAUAAUGUAGGUUAAGAUCAUUUGCCAA